Molecule: long non-coding RNA, 992 nt
Filed under: Homo sapiens (human)
Lineage: Eukaryota; Metazoa; Chordata; Mammalia; Primates; Hominidae
Description: HSALNT0282127
Source: RNAcentral
AACUGAUUGGUGAGUAGGAAGCCAAAAGACACACACAGAGAACAGUACAAUCUUUUAAAAGCUCCAAGUCAUUAGCUUUAUUUUUACUGAAUUCAGCAUGGGAUGACAAAAAUGCAUUAUAUCACUACCAUCCAUUAUUACAUGUAGACAUUUAUCCUUGUAUUCUUUAUAUGUCCAUUUUCUACGUUAAAUCUGUUAACCAAUACUAAUUUAAAUUACAUGAUUUCCUACUAAAAAUAUGCAGUUCAUAUAAGCAAGGGCAAAUAAAUCCUCCUUAAAACAUUUUAUUCCUUUAUAAUUGAGAACUUAACAGUCUUAAUGGCUAGUUCUUAAAAAAUGUUUAUAGGAUUAAGUUUAUUUAAGAGAGCAGACAAACAAAACAUAUUGUAAAACUAGUAUUUUCCAGAAGCAAUUUCCAUUCUCUUCCUUUCUUCCUGCAAACUGGUGUUUUAUCUUUACAAGUUCUCUGUCAUUCCAUAAGAAAGCUGAACAGUGGUUAAAACAUCCAGUUUGCUUGAAUUCCUGAGUGAUUCAGAUUCCAGUGAGAUUGAGGGUCAUUCAUAACAGUUACAAGGCUGGUGUGGUAAAGGGAGAACAAAAAUAAACUGGGUUUCUGCAGGUAAGUGAGAAGACAAAAUGAAGAGGAAUAAGGUUGUAAGGCAGUAUGAUUAGGCUUGUGGGUGCUAUGCCUUCUGAUAAUAAUUAUGAACAGAAAUAGAAGCCAAAAAGUAAACAACAUGUAAGUUGUCAAUCUUUGACAGUUGAGGCAGGGAGAAGGAAGGAAGGAUGACAUUACACCUUAUCUCUGGUUUACUAGGCUGGUGUGUGAGACCAUUUGGGUGAAAUCGUAUUGAAAUCAUUCAUUGCUGAGGUGAUCAGCUUUCUUGCGGUCCUUUCUCUGCACUCUAUUCAAUGAUAAACUCCACUGGUUUAUACCUCCUGGAAAACAGUUAUUCAGAAACAUUAUAGGGGUAGCAUUGGUGAGACAGCCA